Molecule: ribosomal RNA, 349 nt
Filed under: uncultured Glomus
Lineage: Eukaryota; Fungi; Glomeromycota; Glomeromycetes; Glomerales; Glomeraceae
Description: SSU rRNA
Rfam family: Eukaryotic small subunit ribosomal RNA
Source: RNAcentral
AGCAGCCGCGGUAAUUCCAGCUCCAAUAGCGUAUAUUAAAGUUGUUGCAGUUAAAAAGCUCGUAGUUGAAUUUCGGGAUCAAUAUGUUGGUCGUACCAUUGGUACGUACUGGCAUUAUUGAUUCCUACCUUCUGAAGAAUCUUGAUGUCAUUAAUUUGGUGUCUUGGGAAAUCAGGACUGUUACUUUGAAAAAAUUAGAGUGUUUAAAGUAGGCUCGCGCUUGAAUACAUUAGCAUGGAAUAAUGAAAUAGGACGUUUGAUUCUAUUUUGUUGGUUUCUAGGAUCGAUGUAAUGAUUAAUAGGGAUAGUUGGGGGCAUUAGUAUUCAAUUGUCAGAGGUGAAAUUCUUG